GACGAACGCUGGCGGCGUGCUUAACACAUGCAAGUCGAACGGAAAGGCCUGCUUUCCCUUGUGGAUUGCGGGUACUCGAGUGGCGAACGGGUGAGUAACACGUGAGUGAUCUGCCCCCAACUUGGGUAUAAGCCUGGGAAACUGGGUCUAAUUCCCGAUAGGACUGCAGGGUGGUGCCUGUGGUGGAAAACGAUUUUCUAGUGGUUGGGGAUGAGCUCGCGGCCUAUCAGCUUGUUGGUGGGGUAAUGGCCUACCAAGGCGGCGACGGGUGGCCGGCCUGAGAGGGUGGACGGCCACAUUGGGACUGAGAUACGGCCCAGACUCCUACGGGAGGCAGCAGUGGGGAAUAUUACACAAUGGGCGGAAGCCUGAUGCAGCGACGCCGCGUGGGGGAUGACGGCCUUCGGGUUGUAAACUCCUUUCGACCGCGAGGAAGCCACCUGGUUGGAAGGGUGGUGACGGUAGUGGUAGAAGAAGCACCGGCUAACUACGUG
This 494-nucleotide ribosomal RNA is filed under the name uncultured bacterium. Its description in RNAcentral is "partial 16S ribosomal RNA". It matches the Rfam family "Bacterial small subunit ribosomal RNA", at positions 28 to 507 of the family's 1533-position model. The record is from RNAcentral.